RNAcentral lists this ribosomal RNA (497 nucleotides) under uncultured bacterium. RNAcentral's name for it is "partial 16S ribosomal RNA". It matches the Rfam family "Bacterial small subunit ribosomal RNA", at positions 28 to 507 of the family's 1533-position model. The record is from RNAcentral.
GAUGAACGCUGGCGGCGUGCCUAAUACAUGCAAGUCGAGCGAACAGAUAAGGAGCUUGCUCCUUUGACGUUAGCGGCGGACGGGUGAGUAACACGUGGGUAACCUACCUAUCAGACUGGAAUAACUCCGGGAAACCGGGGCUAAUGCCGGAUAACAUUUAGAACCGCAUGGUUCUAAAGUGAAAGAUGGUUUUGCUAUCACUUAUAGAUGGACCCGCGCCGUAUUAUCUAGUUGGUAAGGUAACGGCUUACCAAGGCAACGAUACGUAGCCGACCUGAGAGAGUGAUCGGCCACACUGGAACUGAGACAGGGACAAGACUCCUACGGGAGGCAGCAGUAGGGAAUGUUCCGCAAUGGGCGAAAGCGUGACGGAGCAACGCCGCGUGAGUGAUGAAGGUCUUCGGAUCGUAAAACUCUGUUAUUAGGGAAGAACAAAUGUGUAAGUAAAUGUGCACGUCUUGACGGUACCUAAUCAGAAAGCCACGGCUAACUACGUG